Molecule: ribosomal RNA, 253 nt
Filed under: uncultured microorganism
Description: partial 16S ribosomal RNA
Rfam family: Bacterial small subunit ribosomal RNA
Source: RNAcentral
UACGUAGGGUGCGAGCGUUGUUCGGAGUUACUGGGCGUAAAGCGCGUGUAGGCGGCAGGGCAAGUCUGGUGUGAAAUCCCGGGGCUUAACCUCGGGUUUGCGUUCGAUACUUGGUGGCUGGAGUGCGGGAGAGGGAAGUGGAAUUCCCGGUGUAGCGGUGAAAUGCGUAGAUAUCGGGAGGAACGCCGGUGGCGAAGGCGGCUUCCUGGCCCGUUACUGACGCUGAGGCACGAAAGCCAGGGGAGCGAACCGG